UACAACUAAACAAAAGAGUUUGCAAGCCUCAGUCUCAACCACACUUUAUUGUUCUAUAACGUGAGUUUCUUCUCCAUUGCUGUUUGUCUCAAACAGAGAAAGUACAGGCUUGUGACCUUUCCGCAGAUUCCCCUGACAUCCUCCAGCCUGCAGCCAUAGUUCUAUCAGCUCUCUCCUCAGCCUUACUGCAGCAUAUUAACGCUUCUCACAGAGUCAUAUGGUGACUGAGGAGGAAUGAGCUUAUAAGGCCUCUUUAAUUACAGUUGGAUGACUCCCUGUAUGCUGGCUGGCUGUUCUCUGCUAGUACUUCCUCUCUCUCCUCAGAGACACAACCAAGACAAUUGGUUCCUUGGCUCAGUUUCAUCGUAGUACCCCCUUGCAAACAGAAGUGCUGUCAACUCAUCCCUGAUCCCCACUCUGUCCUGUCCGUUCUCAUCAUGGCCCAGAAGUCAGGACCACUUCAGUGUCCGAUCAGAUCUACUCCUCCUGACACCUCUCUUCCACAGGCCAAUCAAGGGAGCUAAAUCCCUAUGACAAUAUCAAUAGCUGAACCGAGCCCAUUGGCUCUCCUAGUUUUACACUUGAAAAUGUGGCGAUGACUCAACACUAUAGCUUCAAUUUGCUCCCACAAAGGGAAGGGAAUCCAUAAGUGUCUGAAUGUUUCAAAUAGCACACAAUUUUGGGACUUGUGCCCACACCUACCAUCUCUGGAC
RNAcentral lists this long non-coding RNA (713 nucleotides) under Salmo salar (Atlantic salmon). Its description in RNAcentral is "lncRNA (ENSSSAG00000094068.1)". Lineage: Eukaryota; Metazoa; Chordata; Actinopteri; Salmoniformes; Salmonidae. The record is from RNAcentral.